GUGGGGUUAGAAGCAGCAAAAACUGGAAGCUUUCUGAGAAUCCUUUCAAAUAAAUUAGUGAUGGGACCUGAAGAUCAAGAGAGAUUUUUGAAAGAUAAAUAUUGCAAGGUGUUCUGAGAAAUACAUCUGGUUAUGCUACUUCUUGCUAUUCCUUACAUAUGAUAUUUCAUCUCUUCACUCAAGACAUUUUCACUGACUAUCACCUAUGCCUGGAAUUCUCUCUCUCCUGGCCUCUACUUCUUGGCAUCUGUGACUUCUUUUGGAUCUCAGCUAAUGGCUCACCUUCUACAGGAAGCCUUUCCUGAUCUCCCUCAACACCAGUGCCUUUCCUCUGUUAAUUCUCUCCAAUUUAUCUUUGUAUAGCUUGUUUACAUGUUGCCCCUUCCUUUAGAUGAUGAGUUCUCUGAGAGCAGAGAUUGUCUUUGCCUUUCUUAGUAUCAUCAGUGCCUGGCACUUAACAAUAAUUUAACAAAUGUUUGUACACUGGCUGAGCCAUUUGCAGAGAGAUUUGGACUACUUGCCUUUCUUUGUAGACAUACCACUACCCUACCCUAUACCUGUAAUGGAUUCUCCCAUGGUAACCUCCUUUUACAACUUGUGUGACUUUUGACAAGUCAUUGAACUUCUCUGCACUCCAGUUUCUUUGUCUAGAAAAGGAGGGAUUGGACCAGAUUACCUCUAAGGCCCCUUCUAGCUCUAGGUCUGGAAUUCUGUGAUAUUAAUGAUAGUAGUUAAUAUUUAUGUAGUACUUUAAGAUUUGCCAAGUGCUGUAGGUAUGCCAUCACAUUUGAUCUUCACGACAGUCUUGGGAAGUAGAUGUGAUUAUUAACCCUAUUUUACAGGUGAAGCAGAAUUAGAACUCUGAUUUCCUGACUCCAGCUCUCACACAAUAUCCAAGGUCACACAACUAGUGGCCAAAUUGGCCUAAAAUCCAAGACUUCUGGUUCUCCAUUCAGUGUUGCUUCUAUCCCACUAUACCACACUACCCCUCUCUCCUUGUCUAGUAGGCACUCUGUAUUGAAACAGAGUCCUUUCCUAAAAGACUGCCAGAUCCAAAGAAUAAGACCUUUUAUUUAUUAUGUUCAUUCCAAUGUCUUAAUGGGAAUGACGGUUACAUUUAUAAUAAAUCAAACUGAAGGCAUUAUUCAUUAGAAUGAAUGUUUCAUCACAAUGGAGUUUAUAUAUCCCACCCAGAAAUUAAAAUUCAAAAGGAAAAACCCUCCAAGCCAUUCGAUUAGUGUGUUAUUAAAACACACACAGAAGUUAGAUGGAGUUGUAGGUGUUCAUUUACAUUCUCAGAGCAGCAUAAAGGCAGCCUACUUGUAUAUAGACAUCAUAGUAAGUGUUUUUAUUACAUCAGUGUAAAACUUAAUGGGCGAACCCACCACAUUCACGCAUUCAUGACUAGUAAAGAGUAGGAGGUUCCAUGUCAAAUCCCGUCCAAAUGAUUCUUGAACUGAGUUCAAAUGUUCAUCUCCUUGUCUUCAAUUAGAGAGCUGACUGUGAAGGUGGCUUGGGGAGGAGUCCUCGGCAACUGGGGAAGAUAUCCAUCAACAAGAGAAGAGCUCUGUUCUAGAAGACAUGGACCAGGAAUCAUUUGGACAGUGCAGAGCUGAGAUCCAUUCUUCUCUGAACUCUGGUCCCUAUGUGCAAGGAUCUCUGGAGACAUUUUGGUAAACUGCGUGUUGAAAGGACACCAUAAUACAUUUUGUCCAGACGGGUGGUGGUCUUGCCCUGUGUGAUGAAGGAAAUAAUGGAAGAAUUUU
Monodelphis domestica (gray short-tailed opossum) is the source of this 1766-nucleotide long non-coding RNA. RefSeq lists it as uncharacterized. NCBI's taxonomy places the organism in Eukaryota, Metazoa, Chordata, Mammalia, Didelphimorphia, Didelphidae. The record is from RefSeq and is a predicted model, not a curated record.